CACGGGGGGAGCAAGCGUUGUUCGGAAUCACUGGGCGUAAAGGGCGUCUAGGCGGUUCGGUAAGUGGAAUGUGAAAUGCCCCGGCUCACCCGGGGAGCUGCAUCCCAAACUGCUGUGCUUGAGUGUGGGAGAGGCGCGUGGAAUUGCAGGUGUAGCGGUGAAAUGCGUAGAUAUCUGCAGGAACACCCGUGGCGAAAGCGGCGCGCUGGACCACUACUGACGCUGAGGAACGAAAGCUAGGGGAGCAAACAGG
RNAcentral lists this ribosomal RNA (253 nucleotides) under uncultured bacterium. Its description in RNAcentral is "partial 16S ribosomal RNA". It matches the Rfam family "Bacterial small subunit ribosomal RNA", at positions 524 to 776 of the family's 1533-position model. The record is from RNAcentral.